This 3209-nucleotide long non-coding RNA is filed under the name Sus scrofa (pig). RNAcentral describes it as "lncRNA (ENSSSCG00000041187.2)". Lineage: Eukaryota; Metazoa; Chordata; Mammalia; Artiodactyla; Suidae. The record is from RNAcentral.
AGAGUUGUGGUUGAUGGUGUUUUGAGAGGGAUGCAGAGCAAGCACCCAGAGGAUUUUUGGAUUCCUGGGCACCAUGGACUCCCUCCUCCACGACGCCUCCUAUCAGGCAGAGACACAUGUGUCCCUUCAGGAUUUGGAGGUGGAUUGGAAGCCCCGUUGGGUGGCAUGGUUUUUCGAAUGUUUGAAGCAUUCCCUGGGUUUCAGCGUGCCUUUUGUUCUGCUAGAGGCAGGCGCAGAGACACACUCAGCAUUGGGAUUGUAUGGUUAACCAACCAUGUUCAAGCCUCUGACCGUCAAGGGUUCAGUGUGGAUGGGGGUGUGGAAAUCAGCCCAAAUACCCUGGACCAUCACGAUCGAGGGAAAUCCAGAACAAGAACCUAUAAGAACGAAUGCGGGACCCAGCAAUCGCACUCUUGGGCUAUAUCUGGAUGCAUCGUCUUUCAACAAGGUCUUCAUACCAGGUGCAUCGUGAGAACAAAAGCAGCUCACAUGGAAAGAAAAAGAAUUUCGAGAUCUUAGAAGAGAAGAGAAGAAGCACAGGGAAUAUUGCGGCUACUCACCAAAAUGUCACCUCUGUACCACCUUCCAGGGACAACAUGCAGGCACUUUAUCCGGUUCCCAAAGCCCAGGUAAGGAUGGGGUUUCAUAAUUACCAGCUCAACAACAGACACAAACGAACACCGAAAAAAAAAAAAUCAAUGCAUCAAUAAAUAAACCCAAGCACUUGAUUGAGAAAAGGGCAACAGACCUGACUAGACAUUUUCCUAAACCAGAUACACAGGGGUAACAAGCACUGGAAAAAAAUGAUCUCCAUCUCUCAAUCUGAGAGGAAUGCAAAUCACAACGACCCUGAGGUACCACCUCACACCUGUCCGAAUGGUCAUGAUUAAUAAGUCAGGAAAUAGCAAAUCCUGGAGAGGGUGUGGAGAAGAGGGUGCCCGCCUACAGUGGGAGUGGCUAUGCAAAUUGGUACCAAAACAAUGGACAACAGGAUCCAUGCAAAUCCUAAAAAUCCACUAGAAAGGAUGCAUGCCCCAGCAACCCCACCCUUGUGACUAUAUCUGGACACAUAUUCUUUUCAAAAGAUACUUGCCCUGCUCUGUCCCUUGCAGCAAUAUUCACAAUAGCCAAGACAAGGAAACAAACUCAAUGUCCAUCGACAGAUGAACGGAUUAAGAAGAUGUUGUUCAAAGAUUCAGUGGAAUACUACGAUGCAUCCAUACAAAAAGCCCAAAAAAUGACAAUCUCAGCAACAUAGAUGUCUCCAGAAACAUCCUGUGUGAAGUAAGUCAGAAAAUGAAAGACAAUACCAUAGCAUUCCCUUGGUUCUGGAAUCUAUCAAAAGGCACGAAUGAACCUGUCUCCCAAAAAGAAAAUCUUGGACUGGUAAAGAGAUUGUGGUUGCCAGAUUGGGGGUGGUGGUGGAUGUAUGUUGGCAUGGAUUUAGGGGGUUAAUGGAUGCAAACUCUAAUACUUGGAGAGGGUUAGCAAUGGGAUCCUGCUCUACAACACAGGAAACUAUCUGGACUUCUUUUUUUGGAACUAGAUGAAAGAUAAUGUGAAAAAAAUGAUAUCUAUAUACAAGUACAAAUGGAUCACAUUGCUGUUAAAGAGAAAUUGAGAGAGUACUAUCAAUCAGGUAGAGUGGAAAUAAAAAAGGAUAAAAGAAGACAUUACAGGCUCAAUGUUCACCAGAGAAGAUGUAGGGUCUAGCCUCCUGCACCUCGAGAAAAAAAGCAGGCAACCUGACUCUGUCGAACUUGUCAAUAUUUCUUAGCAAUGGGGCACCCGACCAGACGUAAUGACCUAGGGUGUAUGAAUUGAGUUAUACUGUAACAUCUUUAUUUAUUUCGAUUCACCUGUUUAUUUUUCUGCACACAGGUGUGGCAGGCAGAUACCAUCUGGCCAGGUACUGAAUCCACCUCACUGCUUCUUUUAGCCCAGGCCCCUACUGAAACCCUCUGUCACCAGAGGUAGAGGGUCAGGAGGUCCUUUAUUUCUGCUAUCGAUUCCCUUAGCCACUCUGGAGGAAUAUAUGGAUGUAUGUAUUGACCUCAUUAUCAAUGAAGCUCAUUUGUUCAAUAUCUCUCUUUAUGUAUAAAUUUAUUUGGGUGCCACUGCGACUUGGGAUGUUGUCUGGCCAGGGUUUAAUCUCCCAACACAGCUCUUACCACAGCCACAGCAGUGACAGAGAGAGACUCUUAAGCCCAGCAACCACGAGGGAACUCCCUGAGAGCGUGCUUGGUGAUACCAAUCCACCCUGCUUAAUUCAUCACACCUGGCUUUGGUCGGGCCUCCAAUGCCGUGGCGCGGUAGUGAAAACAGAGGAUCAUCGCAAAAGGCAAGAAGGAAAUUUCCCUAGGUCUCUUGAGCAAGAAAAGCACAGGGAUUAGCACAGCUGCCCACCAUCAUGCUGCCCAAGUCUCCCCAUUCUUUUGUCAGCACCAGCCUCUCUCUCCACAUCCCUACAGCCCUGACAACCAGGGGCUUCAACAUGGCCAUCUCACCUUUCAACACAGAUGCUGUGUGGGUCUCGGCUCCUGCCUCUGGAGGAACACAAGGCAUUUGGAAACCCAGUGAAUCCCUUCAGCAUUCCAAACACACUGCCACCCAACCAGGCUGCCCAGCCACAUCCAAUGCUGAAGGGACACCUGUGUCCUCUGCCUGACAUGAGGCAUCUUAGAGUAGAGAUUCCCAGGUGCCCAGAAAAAGAAAAAACCCAAACCUCCUGGUGCUUCCUGUGAGUUCUGCCCAACACAACAUCCACCCCACCUGAGAGCCUGCCUCUGCUGCCCAGAGCGGCACCUGGGUCCAGAAGGUCCUCUGGCGCCGUCUUGUGGCCAUCUGCUCUAACAGCAACCCUCAGGGUGGCCUCCUCUCUCUAGCUCAGCAGCCCCCUGGGGGCUGCAUUGGCUCUGGGCAAUAUGCUGGGUGGAUUCUCUUCCUCCAUUUUCUUGAAAUACCAAGAACUUCCCUUCCAAGUGGGCUAUUUCUCUCUCGAAGGCUUUCAGAGCCCUGAGAUCAACCUACGCCCAAACCACUCCCAUCACUCAUCUCCGAACCAUUGUGUCAUGACAGCAUUCUUCUUUUUGAGAUAUGCCAGCACUUAUGUACUUAUGAAGAUAGGUGUGUAUAUAUGGAACCAUGGAUUUUUUUCUUAAUUUUCCAACUGUUGUUCCUUCACUCAUACAAUAAAGCCUUGAUUCUUU